This 245-nucleotide ribosomal RNA is filed under the name uncultured Elusimicrobium sp. RNAcentral's name for it is "partial 16S ribosomal RNA". It matches the Rfam family "Bacterial small subunit ribosomal RNA", at positions 524 to 769 of the family's 1533-position model. The record is from RNAcentral. Lineage: Bacteria; Pseudomonadati; Elusimicrobiota; Elusimicrobia; Elusimicrobiales; Elusimicrobiaceae.
GACGUAGGUGGCAAGCGUUACUCGGAAUUACUAGGCGUAAAGCGCGCGCAGGUGGCGAUUUAAGUCAGUUGUCAAAUACCCUGGCUCAACUGGGGUCCGCGACUGAAACUGAAUCGCUCGAGUGGGGCAGAGGAAAUCGGAAUUCCCGGUGUAGCGGUGGAAUGCGUAGAUAUCGGGAGGAACACCAGAGGCGAAGGCGGAUUUCUGGGCCUUUACUGACACUGAGGCGCGAAAGCUAGGGGAGC